This is a long non-coding RNA of Synchiropus splendidus (mandarinfish), 626 nucleotides long. RefSeq lists it as uncharacterized. The transcript has 3 exons. NCBI's taxonomy places the organism in Eukaryota, Metazoa, Chordata, Actinopteri, Syngnathiformes, Callionymidae. The record is from RefSeq and is a predicted model, not a curated record.
CGGACCAAUAUUUCCAGCAGCAGAUUUUAACACAAGUAAGACAGGAAAACAUGCUGAAAUUCAAGGCCACAUUUUCAGCAAGGUUAUGCAGAACUUUGCCAAAGCUUCCACAAAGCCCAUUUGUGUCGCACGUCUGGGAGGUUGGCGAAGUCAUCCUGCUCAGCCAGUCCAAUCGCGAGAGACAGAACCACCAUCUUCCCCUCACUGGCAAUCACAAAACAGAAGGCCAGGCACUGGAGGCUCUGUGUGGUGAACCUCCGUGUCCCCAGUGACUCCGGCGCAGUUGAAGACAUCCUCCCAUAUCUUUAGUUAGCACUUCUAAAUUAGGAGUCUCAUUAGACUGGAAGUGUCGUGGUCACAGCUGAGUGUGAUAUCCGUGUGUGUUUAAGCACUUGAUGAGUGGUCAGAGUCUGCCGUGUGAAUAGCCCCUUAAAACAUGAAAGACCAUGAUCAGUACCCUGGAAUUUUGUUAUCCUGAAUGACGCUACUUGUUACUUGUUUUCCCUCAUUACGUCCCAUCGUUCCAUUCUUCUGUCAAAAAAUGUUGAACUAUACAUCCAUGUCUGCACUUUUUUCGUUGUUAUAUUACUUCAUUGAAUAAUCACAAACAUUGUACUUCCAAGAAA